Molecule: long non-coding RNA, 1632 nt
Organism: Nematostella vectensis (starlet sea anemone)
Lineage: Eukaryota; Metazoa; Cnidaria; Anthozoa; Actiniaria; Edwardsiidae
Exons: 3
Source: RefSeq, a predicted model, not a curated record
UGCGGAGGACACAAAUAUCGCGGGCUCGAAGACGAGAUUUCUGACCUUCGAACCAACUCUUCCAGGCUUCUUUGCGAUCUCUGCAAGUUUACCGGGUCAAAGUCCAACAAAUCGUAAACAACCCGCGAAAGUCCGGACAAGUGGUGAAUAAGCGUAUGCUUCGACAGACAAAAUGGGGACAACAAAACAUUGUCUCAUGGCACCUGUAGAAAGGAUUCUAGAUUCCCGCAGUUGUGAAGGACAAAUGGCAAUAGGGACCCUGUACUAUUCUUCCAUAUUCCAGGAGAGAAAAGAAAAACAAAAAGUAACAUCCGGAAUCCCACGAGUGAGGACUGAAGAGUGAGCGAGUUUGACAGAUCUAUCAAUCGUGACACCGUCAAUCAAUCUAGUGCAUUUCAGCGUCUCUAAAAUGUGUUCUACAGUUCUUCGGUAAAGGUCAAAACAGGUUGCCCCGCCUAUAUCCGUUCUAAACUAAGUUUGAAAGACAGAGGCUGCCUCUGCCUGUCUGAUAGGUAUUACCGAUAUUCAGCAUCACGGAUACGAUAAGCGCGCGAACGUGGCUUUCGUUCAGAGUAUAACUGCAUUAAAGGCUGUUUUUUAGAGCCAUCGCUAAGGCAAGUGCAUGUUAAACUCACUCCAACCAAGAACCUAUCAUUGUCUCAAGCACCAGGCUAGUAAAUGUACCAGGCAUACCUGCAGCCAUUCCGAGUACUCGCUGACAAGUUAGAUUGGGCAAAACGGACGCACUACUCGACCGAAUGACAGAUCCCAGAUUUUGAUCCUUUCACUUAAAAAGCCCAGCUUAGCAUUAUAUUGUAAAGGGUGAUGUUAUCUGACCCCGGACCAUUAGCCUACCCAGCCCACAAACUUCACAUUUAUUACAAACACCUUGUGUAUUUGUAGCCGUUAUUGAAGCACGCGCCACUAGACCGGCGAACGGGAACGACGUCGCGAGUUGGCGUCAAUUUAAAUAUAAAGUACACGAAUAGACCCGACGCGGGAGCCAUCGCAAAACAAUCACUUAAUUCCCAUGGCAUUUCCUUAAACGCCAAGCGUUCCAUUUUGCUGGUUCUAUCUUAAUUCCAUCUUUUAAAAAACAUCCCGUUUUAAAAGUGCUUGUUGUCUUUAGAAUCUAUCUCUGAGUAAAAGAGUAAAAUACAGCUUCAAUGGAUUCAAACAACGCGGGAUUUGUAUUAAAAUCAUAAUCGGAUUGCGUGUCCUCCGAUAAAGCAGCAAAGGAACGAACUGAGAUACAUAUACAGGAUCGCGCCAUACUAUCUGCUUAUUGUUCUCAGCAAGUACAACAUUUCUGGGCGCAUUUUGAUGGACUGUUCCCGGGAUUAGCAUGACGUUAUUUUUAUAAGAUAUCUCGCUAUCGCUGCGGCGAUAAGCCGGUGCCUGGAGUGAAGUAAGAGUGAAUUGACAUGAUCCCUCUUACAACACCGUCCAAAAUACACACGUAGAGGAAUUGCGUUACAAGCCGGAUUGCGUUACAGGGGUAAAAUACGGCGUUUGCGUUAAUUGAAAUAAUACGUACUAAAAUAUAUUAAACAUUAAAAACCAGGCACUUAUAGUAAGUAAUUCAGGGGAUAUUGCAAUUAAGGAAAGUGAGAAUAUACAAGUUUCCUUUUA